UUAAGCGACUAAGCGUACACGGUGGAUGCCCUGGCAGUCAGAGGCGAUGAAGGACGUGCUAAUCUGCGAAAAGCGUCGGUAAGGUGAUAUGAACCGUUACAGCCGGCGAUGUCCGAAUGGGGAAACCCAGUGUGAUUCGUCACACUAUCGUUAACUGAAUACAUAGGUUAACGAGGCGAACCGGGGGAACUGAAACAUCUAAGUACCCCGAGGAAAAGAAAUCAACCGAGAUUCCCCCAGUAGCGGCGAGCGAACGGGGAGCAGCCCAGAGUCUGAAUCAGCUUGUGUGUUAGUGGAACGGUCUGGAAAGUCCGACGGUACAGGGUGAUAGUCCCGUACACCAAAAUGCACAGGCUGUGAACUCGAAGAGUAGGGCGGGACACGUGGUAUCCUGUCUGAAUAUGGGGGGACCAUCCUCCAAGGCUAAAUACUCCUGACUGACCGAUAGUGAACCAGUACCGUGAGGGAAAGGCGAAAAGAACCCCGGCGAGGGGAGUGAAAAAGAACCUGAAACCGUGUACGUACAAGCAGUGGGAGCACCUUCGGGUGUGACUGCGUACCUUUUGUAUAAUGGGUCAGCGACUUAUAUUCUGUAGCAAGGUUAACCGUAUAGGGGAGCCGCAGGGAAACCGAGUCUUAACUGGGCGUUAAGUUGCAGGGUAUAGACCCGAAACCCGGUGAUCUAGCCAUGGGCAGGUUGAAGGUUGGGUAACACUAACUGGAGGACCGAACCGACUAAUGUUGAAAAAUUAGCGGAUGACUUGUGGCUGGGGGUGAAAGGCCAAUCAAACCGGGAGAUAGCUGGUUCUCCCCGAAAGCUAUUUAGGUAGCGCCUCGUGAACUCAUCUUCGGGGGUAGAGCACUGUUUCGGCUAGGGGGUCAUCCCGACUUACCAACCCGAUGCAAACUACGAAUACCGAAGAAUGUUAUCACGGGAGACACACGGCGGGUGCUAACGUCCGUCGUGAAGAGGGAAACAACCCAGACCGCCAGCUAAGGUCCCAAAGUCAUGGUUAAGUGGGAAACGAUGUGGGAAGGCACAGACAGCCAGGAUGUUGGCUUAGAAGCAGCCAUCAUUUAAAGAAAGCGUAAUAGCUCACUGGUCGAGUCGGCCUGCGCGGAAGAUGUAACGGGGCUAAACCAUGCACCGAAGCUGCGGCAGCGACACUAUGUGUUGUUGGGUAGGGGAGCGUUCUGUAAGCCUGCGAAGGUGUGCUGUGAGGCAUGCUGGAGGUAUCAGAAGUGCGAAUGCUGACAUAAGUAACGAUAAAGCGGGUGAAAAGCCCGCUCGCCGGAAGACCAAGGGUUCCUGUCCAACGUUAAUCGGGGCAGGGUGAGUCGACCCCUAAGGCGAGGCCGAAAGGCGUAGUCGAUGGGAAACAGGUUAAUAUUCCUGUACUUGGUGUUACUGCGAAGGGGGGACGGAGAAGGCUAUGUUAGCCGGGCGACGGUUGUCCCGGUUUAAGCAUGUAGGCUGAUUGUCCAGGCAAAUCCGGAUAAUCAAGGCUGAGGUGUGAUGACGAGGCACUACGGUGCUGAAGUAACAAAUGCCCUGCUUCCAGGAAAAGCCUCUAAGCAUCAGGUAACAUUAAAUCGUACCCCAAACCGACACAGGUGGUCAGGUAGAGAAUACCAAGGCGCUUGAGAGAACUCGGGUGAAGGAACUAGGCAAAAUGGUGCCGUAACUUCGGGAGAAGGCACGCUGGUGUGUAGGUGAAGCCCCUGCGGGUGGAGCUGAGACCAGUCGAAGAUACCAGCUGGCUGCAACUGUUUAUUAAAAACACAGCACUGUGCAAACACGAAAGUGGACGUAUACGGUGUGACGCCUGCCCGGUGCCGGAAGGUUAAUUGAUGGGGUUAUCCGUAAGGAGAAGCUCUUGAUCGAAGCCCCGGUAAACGGCGGCCGUAACUAUAACGGUCCUAAGGUAGCGAAAUUCCUUGUCGGGUAAGUUCCGACCUGCACGAAUGGCGUAAUGAUGGCCAGGCUGUCUCCACCCGAGACUCAGUGAAAUUGAACUCGCUGUGAAGAUGCAGUGUACCCGCGGCAAGACGGAAAGACCCCGUGAACCUUUACUAUAGCUUGACACUGAACAUUGAGCCUUGAUGUGUAGGAUAGGUGGGAGGCUUUGAAGCGUGGACGCCAGUCUGCGUGGAGCCAACCUUGAAAUACCACCCUUUAAUGUUUGAUGUUCUAACGUUGGCCCCUUACCGGGGUUGCGGACAGUGUCUGGUGGGUAGUUUGACUGGGGCGGUCUCCUCCCAAAGCGUAACGGAGGAGCACGAAGGUUAGCUAAUCCUGGUCGGACAUCAGGAGGUUAGUGCAAUGGCAUAAGCUAGCUUGACUGCGAGCGUGACGGCGCGAGCAGGUGCGAAAGCAGGUCAUAGUGAUCCGGUGGUUCUGAAUGGAAGGGCCAUCGCUCAACGGAUAAAAGGUACUCCGGGGAUAACAGGCUGAUACCGCCCAAGAGUUCAUAUCGACGGCGGUGUUUGGCACCUCGAUGUCGGCUCAUCACAUCCUGGGGCUGAAGUAGGUCCCAAGGGUAUGGCUGUUCGCCAUUUAAAGUGGUACGCGAGCUGGGUUUAGAACGUCGUGAGACAGUUCGGUCCCUAUCUGCCGUGGGCGCUGGAGAAUUGAGGGGGGCUGCUCCUAGUACGAGAGGACCGGAGUGGACGCAUCACUGGUGUUCGGGUUGUCAUGCCAAUGGCACUGCCCGGUAGCUAAAUGCGGAAGAGAUAAGUGCUGAAAGCAUCUAAGCACGAAACUUGCCCCGAGAUGAGUUCUCCCUGAGACUUUAAGUCUCCUGAAGGAACGUUGAAGACGACGACGUUGAUAGGCCGGGUGUGUAAGCGCAGCGAUGCGUUGAGCUAACCGGUACUAAUGAACCGUGAGGCUUAACCUU
RNAcentral lists this ribosomal RNA (2900 nucleotides) under Klebsiella pneumoniae. Its description in RNAcentral is "bacterial LSU rRNA". It matches the Rfam family "Bacterial large subunit ribosomal RNA". Lineage: Bacteria; Pseudomonadati; Pseudomonadota; Gammaproteobacteria; Enterobacterales; Enterobacteriaceae. The record is from RNAcentral.